RNAcentral lists this ribosomal RNA (460 nucleotides) under uncultured bacterium. RNAcentral describes it as "partial 16S ribosomal RNA". It matches the Rfam family "Bacterial small subunit ribosomal RNA", at positions 338 to 795 of the family's 1533-position model. The record is from RNAcentral.
CCUACGGGUGGCAGCAGUGAGGAAUAUUGGUCAAUGGGCGGGAGCCUGAACCAGCCAAGUCGCGUGAGGGAAGACGGUCCUAUGGAUUGUAAACCUCUUUAGGCGGGGAGCAAUGCCGGGCACGCGUGCCCGGAGGGAGAGUACCCGCAGAAUAAGCAUCGGCUAACUCCGUGCCAGCAGCCGCGGUAAUACGGAGGAUGCGAGCGUUAUCCGGAUUUAUUGGGUUUAAAGGGUGCGUAGGCGGGUUUUUAAGUCAGCGGUAAAAUGUCGGGGCUCAACCCGGGCCGGCCGUUGAAACUGGCGAUGUGGAGUGGGCGAGAAGUAUGCGGAAUGCGUGGUGUAGCGGGGAAAUGCAUAGAUAGCACGCAGAAUGACGAGUGCGAAGGCAGCAUACCGGCGCCCUACUGACGCUGAGGAACGAAAGCGUGGGUAUCGAACAGGAUUAGAUACCCGGGUAGUC